This 626-nucleotide ribosomal RNA is filed under the name Streptomyces sp. Its description in RNAcentral is "bacterial SSU rRNA". It matches the Rfam family "Bacterial small subunit ribosomal RNA", at positions 402 to 1039 of the family's 1533-position model. The record is from RNAcentral. Lineage: Bacteria; Bacillati; Actinomycetota; Actinomycetes; Kitasatosporales; Streptomycetaceae.
UGAGGGAUGACGGCCUUUCGGGUUGUAAACCUCUUUCAGCAGGGAAGAAGCGCAAGUGACGGUACCUGCAGAAGAAGCACCGGCUAACUACGUGCCAGCAGCCGCGGUAAUACGUAGGGUGCGAGCGUUGUCCGGAAUUAUUGGGCGUAAAGAGCUCGUAGGCGGCCUGUCGCGUCGGAUGUGAAAGCCCGGGGCUUAACCCCGGGUCUGCAUUCGAUACGGGCAGGCUAGAGUGUGGUAGGGGAGAUCGGAAUUCCUGGUGUAGCGGUGAAAUGCGCAGAUAUCAGGAGGAACACCGGUGGCGAAGGCGGAUCUCUGGGCCAUUACUGACGCUGAGGAGCGAAAGCGUGGGGAGCGAACAGGAUUAGAUACCCUGGUAGUCCACGCCGUAAACGUUGGGAACUAGGUGUUGGCGACAUUCCACGUCGUCGGUGCCGCAGCUAACGCAUUAAGUUCCCCGCCUGGGGAGUACGGCCGCAAGGCUAAAACUCAAAGGAAUUGACGGGGGCCCGCACAAGCAGCGGAGCAUGUGGCUUAAUUCGACGCAACGCGAAGAACCUUACCAAGGCUUGACAUAUGCCGGAAACAUCCAGAGAUGGGUGCCCCCUUGUGGUCGGUAUACAGGU